This 224-nucleotide unclassified non-coding RNA is filed under the name Hevea brasiliensis (rubber tree). The record is from RNAcentral. Lineage: Eukaryota; Viridiplantae; Streptophyta; Magnoliopsida; Malpighiales; Euphorbiaceae.
CAGCGACUUCACCCUCAGACGAAAGAGAACGCGCUGAGACUGCUACGACGUUUCGACGGACACCGCAAUCGAAUACUGUUAAUGAAACAGAACGUUUCUCUCAAAACAGGACAGGAGAAGAACAGCAGAAAAUCUUUAAGGCGCCUAAGAUGAACUUCCCAACCCGAUUUUCCUUUUAAGUUUUCUCGGAGCAAACAGAAAAGGCGAAAGAAAUUUCAACCCGG